CAGUCGCCACGGUAAUACGAAGGGGGCUAGCGUUGUUCGGAAUUACUGGGCGUAAAGCGCACGUAGGCGGAUGUUUAAGUCAGGGGUGAAAUCCCGCAGCUCAACUGCGGAACUGCCUUUGAUACUGGGUAUCUUGAGUAUGGAAGAGGUUAGUGGAAUUGCGAGUGUAGAGGUGAAAUUCGUAGAUAUUCGCAGGAACACCAGUGGCGAAGGCGGCUAACUGGUCCAUAACUGACGCUGAGGUGCGAAAGCGUGGGGAGCAAACAGGAUUAGAUACCCGCGUAGUCCCUGUCUCUUAUAC
Molecule: ribosomal RNA, 301 nt
Filed under: uncultured bacterium
Lineage: Bacteria
Description: partial 16S ribosomal RNA
Rfam family: Bacterial small subunit ribosomal RNA
Source: RNAcentral